Molecule: ribosomal RNA, 1740 nt
Filed under: Salmonella enterica subsp. enterica serovar Tennessee
Lineage: Bacteria; Pseudomonadati; Pseudomonadota; Gammaproteobacteria; Enterobacterales; Enterobacteriaceae
Description: bacterial LSU rRNA
Rfam family: Bacterial large subunit ribosomal RNA
Source: RNAcentral
GUUGUUGGGUAGGGGAGCGUUCUGUAAGCCUGUGAAGGUGGCCUGUGAGGGUUGCUGGAGGUAUCAGAAGUGCGAAUGCUGACAUAAGUAACGAUAAAGCGGGUGAAAAGCCCGCUCGCCGGAAGACCAAGGGUUCCUGUCCAACGUUAAUCGGGGCAGGGUGAGUCGACCCCUAAGGCGAGGCCGAAAGGCGUAGUCGAUGGGAAACGGGUUAAUAUUCCCGUACUUGGUGUUACUGCGAAGGGGGGACGGAGAAGGCUAUGUUGGCCGGGCGACGGUUGUCCCGGUUUAAGCGUGUAGGUGUGUGUUCCAGGUAAAUCCGGUUCACUUUAACACUGAGGCGUGACGACGAGGCACUACGGUGCUGAAGCAACAAAUGCCCUGCUUCCAGGAAAAGCCUCUAAGCAUCAGGUAACAUCAAAUCGUACCCCAAACCGACACAGGUGGUCAGGUAGAGAAUACCAAGGCGCUUGAGAGAACUCGGGUGAAGGAACUAGGCAAAAUGGUGCCGUAACUUCGGGAGAAGGCACGCUGACAUGUAGGUGAAGUGAUUUACUCAUGGAGCUGAAGUCAGUCGAAGAUACCAGCUGGCUGCAACUGUUUAUUAAAAACACAGCACUGUGCAAACACGAAAGUGGACGUAUACGGUGUGACGCCUGCCCGGUGCCGGAAGGUUAAUUGAUGGGGUCAGCGCAAGCGAAGCUCCUGAUCGAAGCCCCGGUAAACGGCGGCCGUAACUAUAACGGUCCUAAGGUAGCGAAAUUCCUUGUCGGGUAAGUUCCGACCUGCACGAAUGGCGUAAUGAUGGCCAGGCUGUCUCCACCCGAGACUCAGUGAAAUUGAACUCGCUGUGAAGAUGCAGUGUACCCGCGGCAAGACGGAAAGACCCCGUGAACCUUUACUAUAGCUUGACACUGAACAUUGAGCCUUGAUGUGUAGGAUAGGUGGGAGGCUUUGAAGUGUGGACGCCAGUCUGCAUGGAGCCGACCUUGAAAUACCACCCUUUAAUGUUUGAUGUUCUAACGUGGACCCGUUACCCGGGUUGCGGACAGUGUCUGGUGGGUAGUUUGACUGGGGCGGUCUCCUCCUAAAGAGUAACGGAGGAGCACGAAGGUUGGCUAAUCCUGGUCGGACAUCAGGAGGUUAGUGCAAUGGCAUAAGCCAGCUUGACUGCGAGCGUGACGGCGCGAGCAGGUGCGAAAGCAGGUCAUAGUGAUCCGGUGGUUCUGAAUGGAAGGGCCAUCGCUCAACGGAUAAAAGGUACUCCGGGGAUAACAGGCUGAUACCGCCCAAGAGUUCAUAUCGACGGCGGUGUUUGGCACCUCGAUGUCGGCUCAUCACAUCCUGGGGCUGAAGUAGGUCCCAAGGGUAUGGCUGUUCGCCAUUUAAAGUGGUACGCGAGCUGGGUUUAGAACGUCGUGAGACAGUUCGGUCCCUAUCUGCCGUGGGCGCUGGAGAACUGAGGGGGGCUGCUCCUAGUACGAGAGGACCGGAGUGGACGCAUCACUGGUGUUCGGGUUGUCAUGCCAAUGGCACUGCCCGGUAGCUAAAUGCGGAAGAGAUAAGUGCUGAAAGCAUCUAAGCACGAAACUUGCCCCGAGAUGAGUUCUCCCUGAGACUUAGAGUCUCCUGAAGGAACGUUGAAGACGACGACGUUGAUAGGCCGGGUGUGUAAGCGCAGCGAUGCGUUGAGCUAACCGGUACUAAUGAACCGUGAGGCUUAACCUUACAACGCCGAAG